Parasteatoda tepidariorum (common house spider) is the source of this 443-nucleotide long non-coding RNA. RefSeq lists it as uncharacterized. The record is from RefSeq and is a predicted model, not a curated record. NCBI's taxonomy places the organism in Eukaryota, Metazoa, Arthropoda, Arachnida, Araneae, Theridiidae.
GGCAACCCUUCACUGCAAACAAGGAACAUCGUCUUUUUAAACUUUCGUUAUGGAGAUCUAUAAAAAUAAAUGCCUUCACGAAGUACAGAAGAAAUUUAUUCUGGUUUUAGACGAUGAAACAAUUAUUCUAAGAUCAAAUUUGAACGAGGAUGAGAGUAAUCGAUUCGUCAGAAACUAUAGUAAAGUUUCAAAUACUAGCUGGAUUGUUUAUUACAAUCGGAGAAAUUUAUCGAGGUGGCUAUACAGUAAACCAUGGAAGUGUCAUCAUUCCAAAUUUCGAAAAAUUGAUGGCGCAGCGGAAAACAUGGAUUGCAAUGCUAGUGUAAUCAAAUUUCUAAAAAAAAAUUUUUUUUUUAUGUCGAUAGUACGUUUGAUAAUUGUAUAUAUAAAGCGUAAUCUAUUAAAAAUCAAGAUCAGCAAAAUGAAAAAAAAUUCUGCUCUGA